This 966-nucleotide ribosomal RNA is filed under the name Triticum aestivum (bread wheat). RNAcentral's name for it is "partial small subunit ribosomal RNA". Lineage: Eukaryota; Viridiplantae; Streptophyta; Magnoliopsida; Poales; Poaceae. The record is from RNAcentral.
AUGGCGGCGUCGACCUACGAAGAGGCGAGAGGAGCGGUGGUGGCAGCGUCGAGCUGCGAAGAGGUGCCGCUUGAGCGUGAGACCACGGAGGCGGGAGCGGCUACUUCGGGCCCCGAUCUGGGAGGGUACGAGGCAGAAAAGGACGACAUCGUCGCCGUCAUAGAAUGUAGAUCGAGCUUGUAUCAAGCACUAUUGCUGAAGGUGGGCCUUAUGCCUCAAAGUCAUGACCUACUGCACCUCGGGAAGCAGUUUGUUCCUCCAAUGAUGGAUCCUGUUCUUGGUGAUUAUGCAAGAAAUGUGCCUGAUGCAAGGGAAUAUGAAGUCCUGUCCCUGUUUGCAACAAUUAUAAACAAGUACAAAGCUGAAAUGCUUGAUGAUGUGCCUCGUAUAUUCGAGUCACAUGUCGAGAUUUCACUGAUUGUUCGGUCUGGCCAGAUGAUUACUAAAAACUUCGAAGAUUAUCCUGAGCACCGCCUCAAGUUUUUUUCUUUACUUCAUGCUAUUAGCACCCACUGCUUCAAAGCUUUAAUUCAGCUUUCCAGCCAGGUUGAUGGUCUAACUGAGCCUCUAUGGGAUGCAUCGAUGGUGACCAAGUUUGUUGAUGGGCUACUUGGUUCGAGACAUGACCUCCCAAGCUUCAAAAACCAUAUUAGGGACUUCCUGGUGCAAUCAAAGGAGUUCUCAGCCAAGGAUAACAAGGAUUUGUAUGCGGAAGAGGCUGCGUUUGAUGUUCAAUUAGGCCUCCAGAGGCCUCCAUGUCCUGGAGCGUUCGCUUGUGUUUCUUGGCCGGCACUAGCGAAGGGGGAGGGCAGAGGUGUCGCGGACAAGGACGACAUGGUUGCCUUUGCCGAGAGCACCCGCAUCUUCAUCCACUGCCUCUCUGCCAUGUACUGCCUCCUGCCAUCCAUCUACUUGUUUUUCCUUGCCUCCACUUCUGCUCUGAUUCUUAGGAGUAAACCUAAUUGA